AACGAACGCUGGCGGCGUGCCUAACACAUGCAAGUCGAGCGCGAAAAGGGCAACCUGAGUAGAGCGGCGCACGGGUGCGUAACACGUGGGCAAUCUGCCUUAGAGUCGAGGAUAACCUUCCGAAAGGUUGGCUAAUACUCGGUAAGCUUACGGUGUCUUCGGACGCUGUGGGAAAAGUAGGCCUCUGUUUACAAGCUUACGCUCUGAGAUGAGCCCGCGGCCCAUCAGCUAGUUGGCGGUGUAACGGACCACCAAGGCAACGACGGGUAGCUGGUCUGAGAGGACGAUCAGCCACACUGGAACUGAGACACGGUCCAGACUCCUACGGGAGGCAGCAGUGGGGAAUUUUCCACAAUGGGAGAAAGCCUGAUGGAGCAACGCAGCGUGUGUGAUGAAGGUUUUCGGAUCGUAAAGCACUUUCGACCGGGACGAAAAACCUCUGGCUAACAUCCAGGGGCCUGACGGUACCGGGAGAAGAAGCACCGGCUAACUCUGUGCCAGCAGCCGCGGUAA
This 513-nucleotide ribosomal RNA is filed under the name uncultured bacterium. RNAcentral describes it as "partial 16S ribosomal RNA". It matches the Rfam family "Bacterial small subunit ribosomal RNA", at positions 29 to 523 of the family's 1533-position model. The record is from RNAcentral.